RNAcentral lists this ribosomal RNA (497 nucleotides) under uncultured bacterium. RNAcentral describes it as "partial 16S ribosomal RNA". It matches the Rfam family "Bacterial small subunit ribosomal RNA", at positions 899 to 1397 of the family's 1533-position model. The record is from RNAcentral.
ACUCAAAGGAAUUGACGGGGGCCCGCACAAGCGGCGGAGCAUGUUGCUUAAUUCGAGGCAACGCGAAGAACCUUACCUGGGCUUGACAUGUGGGGAAAAGCACUAGAGAUAGUGUGUCCUUCGGGGCCCCAUACAGGUGGUGCAUGGCUGUCGUCAGCUCGUGUCGUGAGAUGUUGGGUUAAGUCCCGCAACGAGCGCAACCCUCGUCCUAUGUUGCCAGCGGAUCAUGCCGGGGACUCGUAGGAGACUGCCGGGGUCAACUCGGAGGAAGGUGGGGACGACGUCAAGUCAUCAUGCCCCUUACGUCCAGGGCUGCAAACAUGCUACAAUGGCCGGUACAAAGGGCUGCGAGACCGCGAGGUUGAGCGAAUCCCAAAAAGCCGGUCUCAGUUCGGAUUGAAGUCUGCAACUCGACUUCAUGAAGCCGGAGUCGCUAGUAAUCCCGGAUCAGCAACGCCGGGGUGAAUACGUUCCCGGGCCUUGUACACACCGCCCGU